RNAcentral lists this long non-coding RNA (457 nucleotides) under Salvia miltiorrhiza (redroot sage). RNAcentral describes it as "long non-coding RNA (SMIL_LNC012410)". Lineage: Eukaryota; Viridiplantae; Streptophyta; Magnoliopsida; Lamiales; Lamiaceae. The record is from RNAcentral.
GGAGGGAGAAACUCAUCAAUUAUUUCUCAUGACAUUAUGACUUUCUAAAGCAUCCUUUGUACCCAUUUAUUUUCCAAAUUUUUUUCCUCUCUUUUCUUUUAUUUUCUUUUCGCUUUUUUUUUCCAACAACUUGUAGGGUACUAGAAUUUUUCAAUCAAGAUCAAAGUUCAUAAUCCAUAAUCACACAUCUCCACAAACCAACUAUCCCAUAUCAAUAAUUUCCAAGCUCCCACCCAAUGCUAAAUCAAAGAAUAUGGAUAAUAAGGCUCAAAUGGGGCAAACUAGGAUCAUAUAUAGUAAAAUGACAAUUAUGAGAAAUAUAGGCUAGCAAAGAUAGCCUUCUAUCAUCUCAAAGUUAUUAAGCACACAAAGUGACCUCGAGGGAGAACCCAAGACAAGUUCUAGUGAGAAACAUGCAUGCUCGAACAAUCACGCAAGAAUAAGAAAUAAGACUGUU